GAAUGCUGACAUAAGUAACGAUAAAGCGGGUGAAAAGCCCGCUCGCCGGAAGACCAAGGGUUCCUGUCCAACGUUAAUCGGGGCAGGGUGAGUCGACCCCUAAGGCGAGGCCGAAAGGCGUAGUCGAUGGGAAACGGGUUAAUAUUCCCGUACUUGGUGUUACUGCGAAGGGGGGACGGAGAAGGCUAUGUUGGCCGGGCGACGGUUGUCCCGGUUUAAGCGUGUAGGUGUGUGUUCCAGGUAAAUCCGGUUCACUUUAACACUGAGGCGUGACGACGAGGCACU
RNAcentral lists this ribosomal RNA (285 nucleotides) under Salmonella enterica. RNAcentral describes it as "partial 23S ribosomal RNA". It matches the Rfam family "Bacterial large subunit ribosomal RNA", at positions 1292 to 1578 of the family's 2925-position model. RNAcentral also lists the same sequence under 2 other names. Lineage: Bacteria; Pseudomonadati; Pseudomonadota; Gammaproteobacteria; Enterobacterales; Enterobacteriaceae. The record is from RNAcentral.